RNAcentral lists this ribosomal RNA (301 nucleotides) under uncultured bacterium. RNAcentral's name for it is "bacterial SSU rRNA". It matches the Rfam family "Bacterial small subunit ribosomal RNA", at positions 335 to 627 of the family's 1533-position model. The record is from RNAcentral.
ACUCCUACGGGAGGCAGCAGUGGGGAAUAUUGCACAAUGGGCGCAAGCCUGAUGCAGCCAUGCCGCGUGUGUGAAGAAGGCCUUCGGGUUGUAAAGCACUUUCAGUCGUGAGGAAGGUGUAGUGUUAAUAGCACUAUCAUUUGACGUUAGCGACAGAAGAAGCACCGGCUAACUCCGUGCCAGCAGCCGCGGUAAUACGGAGGGUGCGAGCGUUAAUCGGAAUUACUGGGCGUAAAGCGCAUGCAGGUGGUUUGUUAAGUCAGAUGUGAAAGCCCGGGGCUCAACCUCGGAAUAUGACAUU